This 65-nucleotide transfer RNA is filed under the name Apolemotermes fodiens. RNAcentral describes it as "tRNA-Ala". RNAcentral also lists the same sequence under 3 other names. Lineage: Eukaryota; Metazoa; Arthropoda; Insecta; Blattodea; Termitidae. The record is from RNAcentral.
GGGACUAUAGUUAAUAAUAACAUUUGAGUUGCAUUCAAAAAGUACUAUCUGAAUAGUUAGCCUCA